GUGCUCGUUUCGGCAGCACAUAUACUAAAAUUGGAAUGAUACAGAGAAGAUUAGCAUGACCCCUGAGCAAGGAUGACACACAUACACAUUUACCUCUUUUGU
This is a small nuclear RNA of Suncus etruscus (white-toothed pygmy shrew), 102 nucleotides long. Lineage: Eukaryota; Metazoa; Chordata; Mammalia; Eulipotyphla; Soricidae. The record is from RefSeq and is a predicted model, not a curated record.